UAAUAGCAGUUGAUGUAAGGGAGAUAUUC
Molecule: small RNA, 29 nt
Filed under: Bombyx mori (domestic silkworm)
Lineage: Eukaryota; Metazoa; Arthropoda; Insecta; Lepidoptera; Bombycidae
Description: piRNA piR-bmo-2042991
Source: RNAcentral